AUGUAUUCCUUGCUCCAGUUCUCCAGGCACAGUAGUGAGAGGUAAACCAGAGAGCAGAUACCUCACAGAGCAUAGAGGGGAGAGCUCUGUCCUGUACUUUGCUGCAGCCUCCCCCUUUUCCUCAGUCCUCAGUGUGCAGUAUUCUAUAAUAACCACUACCAUCAUCUUCUGUGCCAGACUGUACACCACACUGCACCUCCACCACUAACACAAGUGCACGAUUAACUUGGUGCUGGUUUUCUAAUUGGUGGUGAGGACAUGGCCUAUGGAUAUAAUGAAGACUUUUGGGAGGAAGAGAGUCUGCCCAACUUUUGUGAAAUUUUACUUCGCAGUAAUGAUAAACCAAAAAAUUGAAGGAUUUAUGUGAUGUUCCAUGGCACCACAUUAGAUGCCGCCAUCCAGAUUAUUGAGAAUGGUUUUAAGAGGUCAAUUGAUGGAAUGUUAGGGGAAGGUAUCUAUGUCAGCAGAGAUAUAGAGAAAGCAGCUGGGUAUCCUCCAUUCGAACGUUGGAAUCAGGUUAUCUUAAAGUUGAGAGUAAAUGUAGGUAGAGUAAAGAUGAUAGAUCAUCAGGGCCAUCCAUUGCAGAAAACAUGGCGCAACAAAGGGUAUGAUACUGCAUGGGUGCCAAAGUAUUGCGGCAUGGUUUUCAGUGGAUUAGAAGAAGACUGUAUUUGGGACCCUAACAGGAUCAAAGUUGUAGGGAUUGUUAGAGCCCCACCUUUUUCUGUGCACCGAUAUCUGGUGAACCUUCUUGAGAAGUGUACAGAUGAUUAGUGAACCUUCAGCUCCAAAAUACACAGCUCAAAUCUGUCAUGUUUGCCACCGUCUUUGCAUAAAAUACUACAAAAAAAAUAAAA
Hyla sarda is the source of this 857-nucleotide long non-coding RNA. RefSeq lists it as uncharacterized. The record is from RefSeq and is a predicted model, not a curated record. NCBI's taxonomy places the organism in Eukaryota, Metazoa, Chordata, Amphibia, Anura, Hylidae. The transcript is spliced from 3 exons.